UCCGUGAACCUGCGGAGGGAUCAUUACCGAGUUUAGCUCUACAACCCUUUGUGAACAUACCUAUAACUGUUGCUUCGGCGGGCAGGGUCUCCGUGACCCUCCCGGCCUCCCGCCCCCGGGCGGGUCGGCGCCCGCCGGAGGAUAACCAAACUCUGAUUUAACGACGUUUCUUCUGAGUGGUACAAGCAAAUAAUCAAAACUUUUAACAACGGAUCUCUUGGUUCUGGCAUCGAUGAAGAACGCAGCGAAAUGCGAUAAGUAAUGUGAAUUGCAGAAUUCAGUGAAUCAUCGAAUCUUUGAACGCACAUUGCGCCCGCCAGCAUUCUGGCGGGCAUGCCUGUUCGAGCGUCAUUUCAACCCUCAAGCUCUGCUUGGUGUUGGGGCCCUACAGCCGAUGUAGGCCCUCAAAGGUAGUGGCGGACCCUCCCGGAGCCUCCUUUGCGUAGUAACUUUACGUCUCGCACUGGGAUCCGGAGGGACUCUUGCCGUAAAACCCCCAAUUCUCCAAAGGUUGACCUCGGAUCAGGUAGGAAUACCCGCUGAACUUAAGCA
This 552-nucleotide ribosomal RNA is filed under the name Colletotrichum horii. Its description in RNAcentral is "eukaryotic LSU rRNA". The stretch from base 198 to 351 matches the Rfam family "5.8S ribosomal RNA". Lineage: Eukaryota; Fungi; Ascomycota; Sordariomycetes; Glomerellales; Glomerellaceae. The record is from RNAcentral.